GACGAACGCUGGCGGCGUGCUUAACACAUGCAAGUCGAACGGAAAGGCCCUGCUUUUGUGGGGUGCUCGAGUGGCGAACGGGUGAGUAACACGUGGGUAACCUGCCCUUGACUUUGGGAUAACUUCAGGAAACUGGGGCUAAUACCGGAUAGGAGCUCCUGCUGCAUGGUGGGGGUUGGAAAGUUUCGGCGGUUGGGGAUGGACUCGCGGCUUAUCAGCUUGUUGGUGGGGUAGUGGCUUACCAAGGCUUUGACGGGUAGCCGGCCUGAGAGGGUGACCGGCCACAUUGGGACUGAGAUACGGCCCAGACUCCUACGGGAGGCAGCAGUGGGGAAUACUGCACAAUGGGCGGAAGCCUGAUGCAGCAACGCCGCGUGCGGGAUGACGGCCUUCGGGUUGUAAACCGCUUUCGCCUGUGACGAAGCGUGAGUGACGGUAAUGGGUAAAGAAGCACCGGCUAACUACGUG
This 468-nucleotide ribosomal RNA is filed under the name uncultured bacterium. RNAcentral's name for it is "partial 16S ribosomal RNA". It matches the Rfam family "Bacterial small subunit ribosomal RNA", at positions 28 to 507 of the family's 1533-position model. The record is from RNAcentral.